Molecule: long non-coding RNA, 1070 nt
Filed under: Helianthus annuus (common sunflower)
Lineage: Eukaryota; Viridiplantae; Streptophyta; Magnoliopsida; Asterales; Asteraceae
Description: hypothetical non coding rna
Source: RNAcentral
AUCCAUUUCUACUCUCUCCCUUGCAAUCUUUCCCUCUCUCUUUAAAUUUCUAGCUUUUUAUUACUAUUUCACUAAUAAUAAUAAAGUCAUGCCCUGUUUUAAGUGUUGUAACCCUUGAUCACUGAUACCCUGUCCAACUGACAUAGGGCCCCGUAACAAAUGUCAAGGCUCUGCCUAAAUUUGUUGGGGUUCUGUCUCGUGACGUAGGGAUAAAGUUAAAUUGGGCUACUAUACUUAAUUUGAGUACACUAUAUAUUUUAUUAAAUAAUCCAGGAGUUAUACCAAGAUAUAUCAACCCUCCAAAAAUAUUUUAGACACCCGCAAAUGUCCUAAAUACACCCCGUAUAUGUAAAACGGUCCCGAAAUAACUUUAUAUAAUUAAAAAUAAAAUAAAAGUCAGUUUUAUAGUCUCUCGCGGGCCGCGAAGACUUGGUCUUCAUCUUACGCGGGCCGCGAGCGAGAAGAUAAGUGGCGCAGCCCAGGAGCCGCCACGUGGCAGUACACGCGUCAGAACCCGGGUGACUCAGCAACACCGCCGCCGCCCUACCAUUUCUCGCGGGCCGCGUAGCCCUUAGCUACGUCUUACGUUGGCCGCGUAAAAGUCGAAAAUCAGCCCUAUAAGUAGCAGGCAACGGCAGUUCCUUCAAAUCAUUCAAAAUUACUUUCUCUCUCUCGAAAUUCUUAAAGGAUAGGCACUAUACUCGGGUAUUAUACCCCCUAAAUAGCGAAGCUCUGCCUCGUUGUAAGUAUCAUAACCCCUGGAUACGUAUUAGAUACUCUGCCCGAUUAAUCUAGGGUUCUGUAACGGCUGUCGUGGUUCUGCCCGACGUAGUCGUUGGAAUGCCGUCUCGGGGAGGAUUAUAACCAGGAAGUCACACAGGAAAGCCCUAUAAUAGCAAUGUAACUUGGUGGGAAGCCAAUAAAAGCCAGCUGGAGAGCACUGAAGGCUUAGAAAAGUGGCAAUAAAAGUUACCUAAUUAAAAAUGAGAAUUGUUUUCAAUAAUUGGGAUCAUCCCCUAUAGAUGUAUCAAAAUGAAAAUCGGGUUUUGUCCCACUUAUAAAUGUGUUAC